CCCAGUCCCCAACACCCGAGCACCCAGCCCCCAGCACCCGAGCCCUGCUUUGGGUCGCACUCCUCUUCCGAACAGACCCAUGGCCGAGCGUGGGGAACUCGACCUGACCGGCGCCAAGCAGAACACCAGAGUGUGGCUGGUCAAGGUUCCUAAAUAUUUGUCACAGCAGUGGGCUAAAGCCCCUGGAAGAGGUGACGUCGGGAAACUGCGGAUUGCCAAGAAUCAAGGAAGGACUGGGGUGUCAUUUACUUUGAAUGAAGAUCUUGUAAAUAUUCAUGAUAUUGGAAAACCAGCUUCAGUCAGCGCUCCUAGAGAACACCCAUUUGUCUUGCAAAGUGUUGGAGGACAAACAUUAACAGUAUUUACUGAGAGCUCAUCAGAUAAGCUUUCAUUGGAAGGAAUAGUGGUACAAAGAGCUGAAUGCCGACCUGCUGCAAGUGAAAACUACAUGAGAUUAAAGAGACUGCAAAUAGAAUCUUCUAAACCUGUACGGCUAUCACAACAACUGGACAAAGUUGUAACAACCAAUUACAAACCUGUUGCCAAUCAUCAAUACAAUAUUGAAUAUGAAAGGAAAAAGAAAGAAGAUGGAAAACGAGCUCGAGCUGAUAAGCAAUGUGUUUUAGACAUGCUAUUUUCGGCUUUUGAGAAACAUCAGUAUUAUAAUCUUAAGGACUUGGUGGACAUCACAAAACAGCCUGUGGUCUACCUGACGGAAAUCUUAAAAGAAAUUGGUAUUCAGAAUGUGAAAGGGAUCCACAAAAACACAUGGGAGCUGAAGCCAGAGUAUAGACAUUAUCAAGGAGAAGAAAAGAGUGAUUAAGAAGACUCCAAGCCAGCAUGCUAACAGAACAACUAAGGGUGAUGUGUUAAGCAUACGGCAUUGAUACUUGAACUUGAGCACCAUGUGUUAUAGGGGCAAAAUGACUGAAACUUUAAUUUCUCUCUCUUUUUUUUAAAUUAA
Molecule: RNA transcript, 964 nt
Organism: Myotis lucifugus (little brown bat)
Lineage: Eukaryota; Metazoa; Chordata; Mammalia; Chiroptera; Vespertilionidae
Gene name: general transcription factor IIF subunit 2 pseudogene
Exons: 1
Source: RefSeq, a predicted model, not a curated record